RNAcentral lists this ribosomal RNA (2122 nucleotides) under gut metagenome. RNAcentral describes it as "bacterial LSU rRNA". It matches the Rfam family "Bacterial large subunit ribosomal RNA", at positions 696 to 2824 of the family's 2925-position model. The record is from RNAcentral.
AUAGUCGGCAGUGGCAGACGCGAAACCAAGUGAUCUACCCUUGGCCAGGUUGAAGGCUGGGUAACACCAGCUGGAGGACCGCACCAAUAAGCGUUGAAAAGCUUCUGGAUGAGCUGAGGGUAGGGGUGAAAGGCUAAUCAAACUUGGAGAUAGCUCGUACUCCCCGAAAUGCAUUUAGGUGCAGCCUUGCGGGUUACUGAUGUGAGGUAGAGCGACUGAUAAGAUGCGAGGGCUUCACCGCCUAUCAAGUCUUGACAAACUCCGAAUGCGCAUCAGUUCUACCGCAGGAGUGAGGGCAUGGGUGCUAAGGUCCGUGCCCGAGAGGAGAAGAAUCCGGACCACCUGCUAAGGUCCCGAAAUGACAGCUAAGUUAAACUAACGAAGUCUGACUGCUAAGACAGCUAGGAUGUUGGCUUGGAAGCAGCCAUUCAUUUAAAGAGUGCGUAACAGCUCACUAGUCGAGGAGUCGGGCGUGGAUAAUAAUCGGGUAUCAAGUUGUCUACCGAAGCAGUGGGAUCAUUUAUAUGAUCGGUAGGGGAGCAUUCCAGUCAGCGUCGAAGGCGUACCGUGAGGUAUUCUGGAGCGUCUGGAAAAGCAAAUGUAGGUAUAAGUAACGAUAAAGGGGGCGGGAAACCCCCUCGCCGAAAGACUAAGGUUUCCUGAUCAACGCUAAUCGGAUCAGGGUCAGUCGGGUCCUAAGGCUCAGCCGAACGGCGAUGCCGAUGGCAGAAACGGUUAAUAUUCCGUUACUACCUUCAGGAGUGACGUGGAGACGCAGUAGUGACAGUGCCGCCAUCUGACGGAAUAGAUGGUUGAAGGGUGUAGGAGUCGAUCAUGGCAGGCAAAUCCACCAUGAGAUCCGAACCUGACAGUAUGCCGCGUCCUUCGGGACAAGGCAAUAGUGCGCGUAAGCAUGCUGCCGAGAAAAUCCGCUAAACUUAAUCCUGCAGGUACCCGUACCGCAAACGGACACACGUAGUCGGGAUGAAUAUUCUAAGGCGCUUGAGUGAUUCACGGUUAAGGAACUAGGCAAACUGACCCUGUAACUUCGGGAUAAAGGGUCCCUACCCUUUUAUGGGAGGGCGCAGAGAAUCGGUCCAGGCAACUGUUUAACAAAAACACAGGGCUGUGCCAAAUCGAAAGAUCCAGUAUACAGCCUGACACCUGCCCGGUGCUGGAAGGUUAAGAGGAGAUGUCAUCGAUAAGAGAAGCGUUGAAUUGAAGCCCCAGUAAACGGCGGCCGUAACUAUAACGGUCCUAAGGUAGCGAAAUUCCUUGUCGGGUAAGUUCCGACCUGCACGAAUGGUGUAAUGAUCUGGACGCUGUCUCAACCGUGAGCUCAGUGAAAUUGUAGUAUCGGUGAAGAUGCCGAUUACCCGCGAUGGGACGAAAAGACCCCGUGAACCUUUACUAUAGCUUAUCAUUGAAUCUGGGCACGUGAUGUGUAGGAUAGGUCGGAGGCUUUGAAGCAGGUACGCCAGUAUUUGUGGAGCCGCUGUUGAAAUACGACCCUUUAUUUGUUUGGAUUCUAACCCGUGGAACGGGGACAUUGAUUGGUGGGUAGUUUGACUGGGGUGGUCGCCUCCAAAAGCGUAACGGAGGCUUCUAAAGGUGCCCUCCGGCCGAUUGGUAACCGGCCUUAGAGUGUAAUGGCAUAAGGGCGCUUGACUGGGAGACUGACAAGUCGAUCAGGUAGGAAACUAGAGCAUAGUGAUCCGGUGUUUCCGUAUGGAAGGGACAUCGCUCAAAGGAUAAAAGGUACUCCGGGGAUAACAGGCUGAUCCCUCCCAAGAGCUCAUAUCGACGGAGUGGUUUGGCACCUCGAUGUCGGCUCGUCACAUCCUGGGGCUGGAGAAGGUCCCAAGGGUUGGGCUGUUCGCCCAUUAAAGUGGCACGCGAGCUGGGUUCAGAACGUCGUGAGACAGUUCGGUCUCUAUCUAUCGUGGGCGUAUGAAAUUUGCGUGGCUCUGACACUAGUACGAGAGGACCGUGUUGGACAGACCUCUGGUUUGCCGGUUGUGCCGCCAGGUGCAUUGCCGGGUAUCUAAGUCUGGAUCGGAUAAGUGCUGAAAGCAUCUAAGUACGAAGCCGGCCACAAGAUUAGAUUUCUCAGGGUCGUUGU